ACAUGCGCAAAUGGAGGAAGUGGGAGUGCACAGAGCCGGAGACACGAUCUACACGAUUGCAUGAUCUCGUUUUCGCUUUCCAUAAAAGGAGAUGAAAUAUACAGAAAAGCUGCGUAAGUUUAGCGGCACAAAAAACUUCUCGCGUGUGUUCUUCUCUUCCACUGUUCAUCGUCAAGCAUUGUCGAUUUCCAGGGAUUCGUGUGUAGUUUGAUCCUGAGUUUUUGCCAACAAGAUCAAGAUGAUGAUCCAAAGUGAAUCCACAAAUUGCUACCUUUGGUGUAGGUAGUAAUCAUUCGUGAAUCGUGAUGAACCCCAUGAAGGGGUGUUUUCAGGAGGGAGAGGCGCCGGGAAGCUUUCACGUUUUUAGACAAAUCCACGAGGUAAUCUUCAAGGACGUGUUGGUGGUCUUUGUUGCAUAAAAAAGAGGGUGACCACAAAUUGGAGGAGUGCGGCAAAGUUUGGGCGGAACUGUAGAAAGGGAUUGGAAGUGGUCUUGUAUUUGUCUUUUGCUUGGUUGUUGUCUUUCAAUGCUUUGUUGAAACCUUUUAUAACGAGUUUGGGUCUAAACACUUUUGUACUUGUAUUGCAUGUAGAGGCCGGGUUUUGUACGUUUUUAUUUCUGUGUACAUCUAUUGAAUAAUCAAGUGCAUUCUAAGGAAGGCUUUCGACA
Oryza sativa Japonica Group (Japanese rice) is the source of this 670-nucleotide non-coding RNA. The record is from RefSeq and is a predicted model, not a curated record. NCBI's taxonomy places the organism in Eukaryota, Viridiplantae, Streptophyta, Magnoliopsida, Poales, Poaceae.